RNAcentral lists this transfer RNA (77 nucleotides) under Candidatus Hydrogenedentota bacterium. RNAcentral's name for it is "tRNA-Val". It matches the Rfam family "tRNA". Rfam says of the family: Transfer RNA (tRNA) molecules are approximately 80 nucleotides in length. Their secondary structure includes four short double-helical elements and three loops (D, anti-codon, and T loops). The record is from RNAcentral. Lineage: Bacteria; Pseudomonadati; Candidatus Hydrogenedentota.
GGGCGACUAGCUCAGGUGGUUAGAGCGCCGUCUUCACACGGCGGAGGUCCGCGGUUCGAGCCCGCGGUCGCCCACCA